GACGAACGCUGGCGGCGUGCCUAAUACAUGCAAGUAGAACGCUGAAGGAGGAGCUUGCUCUUCUGGACGAGUUGCGAACGGGUGAGUAACGCGUAGGUAACCUGCCUGGUAGCGGGGGAUAACUAUUGGAAACGAUAGCUAAUACCGCAUAACAGUAGAUGUUGCAUGACAUUUGCUUAAAAGGUGCAAUUGCACCACUACCAGAUGGACCUGCGUUGUAUUAGCUAGUUGGUGGGGUAACGGCUCACCAAGGCGACGAUACAUAGCCGACCUGAGAGGGUGAUCGGCCACACUGGGACUGAGACACGGCCCAGACUCCUACGGGAGGCAGCAGUAGGGAAUCUUCGGCAAUGGACGGAAGUCUGACCGAGCAACGCCGCGGGAGUGAAGAAGGUUUUCGGAUCGUAAAGCUCUGUUGUAAGAGAAGAACGAGUGUGAGAGUGGAAAGUUCACACUGUGACGGUAUCUUACCAGAAAGGGACGGCUAACUACGUG
This 495-nucleotide ribosomal RNA is filed under the name uncultured bacterium. RNAcentral's name for it is "partial 16S ribosomal RNA". It matches the Rfam family "Bacterial small subunit ribosomal RNA", at positions 28 to 507 of the family's 1533-position model. The record is from RNAcentral.